GACGAACGCUGGCGGCGUGCUUAACACAUGCAAGUCGAACGAAGUGGCGAACGGGUGAGUAACGCGUAAUCAACCUGCCCUUCAGAGGGGGACAACAGUUGGAAACGACUGCUAAUACCGCAAACUGAAGGAGGGGCUUGCGUCGGGUUAGCUGGUUGGAGGGGUACCGGCCCACCAAGGCGAUGAUACGUAGCCGGUAGUGAAGGAUGAACGGCGACAUUGGGACUGAGACACGGCCCAGACUCCUACGGGAGGCAGCAGUGGGGAGUCUUCCGCAAUGGACGAAAGUCUGACGGGGCAACGGCGCGUGAUUGAUGACGGCCUUCGGGUUGUAAAGCGCUGUUAAUCGGGACGCGGUACCGGAAUAGAAAGCCACGGCUAACUACGUGCCAGCAGCCGCGGUAAUUC
RNAcentral lists this ribosomal RNA (408 nucleotides) under uncultured bacterium. Its description in RNAcentral is "partial 16S ribosomal RNA". It matches the Rfam family "Bacterial small subunit ribosomal RNA", at positions 28 to 526 of the family's 1533-position model. The record is from RNAcentral.